CAGUAGCCGCGGGAAUACGAAGGGGGCUAGCGUUGCUCGGAAUUACUGGGCGUAAAGGGAGCGUAGGCGGGUUAUCAAGUUGGAGGUGAAAGCCCAGGGCUCAACCUUGGAAUUGCCUUCAAAACUGAUAGCCUAGGGUAUGAUAGAGGUAAGUGGAACUCCGAGUGUAGAGGUGAAAUUCGUGGAUAUUCGGAAGAACACCAGUGGCGAAGGCGACUUACUGGAUCAUGACUGACGCUGAGGCUCGAAAGCGUGGGGAGCAAACAGGAUUAGAUACCCCAGUAGUCCCUGUCUCUUAUAU
Molecule: ribosomal RNA, 301 nt
Filed under: uncultured bacterium
Lineage: Bacteria
Description: partial 16S ribosomal RNA
Rfam family: Bacterial small subunit ribosomal RNA
Source: RNAcentral